AAAAUAAAAUGCAGGUUACUAUUUAUUUAAGUGAAUAGUAACCGUCACCAUACACCUUUAAUAUAAAACUCGUUUUUCCCCAAAAUUACACCAAUAUGGUCCAAAAUUAAAAAACCUAUACAACACUAUUGGAAAGCACCAAAUUACACCAUAAAAAUCUCAGUCCUCAAAUCAUCCCCUCCUUACAAAAGUUUUAUUCCCGAAACUUGACUAUGUACCUACCGUGAUCAAAUUCGGAUAUCGUUCCAC
Molecule: long non-coding RNA, 249 nt
Filed under: Ananas comosus (pineapple)
Lineage: Eukaryota; Viridiplantae; Streptophyta; Magnoliopsida; Poales; Bromeliaceae
Description: long non-coding RNA (ACOM_LNC013706)
Source: RNAcentral